This 467-nucleotide ribosomal RNA is filed under the name uncultured bacterium. RNAcentral's name for it is "bacterial SSU rRNA". It matches the Rfam family "Bacterial small subunit ribosomal RNA", at positions 30 to 496 of the family's 1533-position model. The record is from RNAcentral.
AUUGAACGCUGGCGGCAUGCCUUACACAUGCAAGUCGAACGGCAGCACGGGAGCAAUCCUGGUGGCGAGUGGCGAACGGGUGAGUAAUAUAUCGGAACGUGCCCAGUCGUGGGGAUAACGUAGCGAAAGCUACGCUAAUACCGCAUACGAUCUACGGAUGAAAGCGGGGGAUCGCAAGACCUCGCGCGAUUGGAGCGGCCGAUAUCAGAUUAAGUAGUUGGUGAGGUAAAGGCUCACCAAGCCGACGAUCUGUAGCUGGUCUGAGAGGAUGAUCAGCCACACUGGGACUGAGACACGGCCCAGACUCCUACGGGAGGCAGCAGUGAGGAAUAUUGGUCAAUGGGCGCAAGCCUGAACCAGCCAUGCCGCGUGCAGGAAGACGGUCCUAUGGAUUGUAAACUGCUUUUAUACAGGAAGAAACACUCCGACGUGUCGGAGCUUGACGGUACUGUAAGAAUAAGGAUCGG